GACGAACGCUGGCGGCGUGCCUAAUACAUGCAAGUCGAGCGCAGGAAAUCGACGGAACCCUUCGGGGGGAAGUCGACGGAAUGAGCGGCGGACGGGUGAGUAACACGUAAAGAACCUGCCCUCAGGUCUGGGAUAACCACGAGAAAUCGGGGCUAAUACCGGAUGGGUCAUCGGACCGCAUGGUCCGAGGAUGAAAGGCGCUUCGGCGUCGCCUGGGGAUGGCUUUGCGGUGCAUUAGCUAGUUGGUGGGGUAAUGGCCCACCAAGGCGCCGAUGCAUAGCCGACCUGAGAGGGUGAUCGGCCACACUAGGACUGAGACACGGCCCAGACUCCUACGGGAGGCGGCAGUAGGGAAUCUUCCACAAUGGACGAAAGUCUGAUGGAGCAACGCCGCGUGAACGAUGAAGGCCUUCGGGUCGUAAAGUUCUGUUGUAAGGGAAGAACAAGUGCCGCAGGCAAUGGCGGCACCUUGACGGUACCUUGCGAGAAAGCCACGGCUAACUACGUGCCAGCCGCCGCGGUAA
Molecule: ribosomal RNA, 524 nt
Filed under: uncultured bacterium
Lineage: Bacteria
Description: partial 16S ribosomal RNA
Rfam family: Bacterial small subunit ribosomal RNA
Source: RNAcentral